UACGAAGGGGGCUAGCGUUGUUCGGAUUUACUGGGCGUAAAGCGCACGUAGGCGGAUUGUUAAGUCAGGGGUGAAAGUCCUGGAGCUCAACUCCAGAACUGCCUCUGAUACUGGCAAUCUUGAGUCCGGAAGAGGUGAAGUGGAACUCCUAGUGUAGAGGUGGAAUUCGUAGAUAUUAGGAAGAACACCAGUGGCGAAGGCGGCUCACUGGUCCGGUACUGACGCUGAGGUGACGAAAGCGUGGGGAGCAAACAGG
This 256-nucleotide ribosomal RNA is filed under the name uncultured bacterium. RNAcentral describes it as "partial 16S ribosomal RNA". It matches the Rfam family "Bacterial small subunit ribosomal RNA", at positions 524 to 776 of the family's 1533-position model. The record is from RNAcentral.